RNAcentral lists this ribosomal RNA (775 nucleotides) under Priestia megaterium. Its description in RNAcentral is "bacterial SSU rRNA". It matches the Rfam family "Bacterial small subunit ribosomal RNA", at positions 37 to 795 of the family's 1533-position model. Lineage: Bacteria; Bacillati; Bacillota; Bacilli; Caryophanales; Bacillaceae. The record is from RNAcentral.
AGGCGGGUGCUAAUACAUGCAAGUCGAGCGAACUGAUUAGAAGCUUGCUUCUAUGACGUUAGCGGCGGACGGGUGAGUAACACGUGGGCAACCUGCCUGUAAGACUGGGAUAACUUCGGGAAACCGAAGCUAAUACCGGAUAGGAUCUUCUCCUUCAUGGGAGAUGAUUGAAAGAUGGUUUCGGCUAUCACUUACAGAUGGGCCCGCGGUGCAUUAGCUAGUUGGUGAGGUAACGGCUCACCAAGGCAACGAUGCAUAGCCGACCUGAGAGGGUGAUCGGCCACACUGGGACUGAGACACGGCCCAGACUCCUACGGGAGGCAGCAGUAGGGAAUCUUCCGCAAUGGACGAAAGUCUGACGGAGCAACGCCGCGUGAGUGAUGAAGGCUUUCGGGUCGUAAAACUCUGUUGUUAGGGAAGAACAAGUACGAGAGUAACUGCUCGUACCUUGACGGUACCUAACCAGAAAGCCACGGCUAACUACGUGCCAGCAGCCGCGGUAAUACGUAGGUGGCAAGCGUUAUCCGGAAUUAUUGGGCGUAAAGCGCGCGCAGGCGGUUUCUUAAGUCUGAUGUGAAAGCCCACGGCUCAACCGUGGAGGGUCAUUGGAAACUGGGGAACUUGAGUGCAGAAGAGAAAAGCGGAAUUCCACGUGUAGCGGUGAAAUGCGUAGAGAUGUGGAGGAACACCAGUGGCGAAGGCGGCUUUUUGGUCUGUAACUGACGCUGAGGCGCGAAAGCGUGGGGAGCAAACAGGAUUAGAUACCUGGGUAGUC